UACGUAGGGUGCAAGCGUUAAUCGGAAUUACUGGGCGUAAAGCGUGCGCAGGCGGUGAUGUAAGACAGGUGUGAAAUCCCCGGGCUCAACCUGGGAACUGCAUUUGUGACUGCAAGGCUGGAGUGCGGCAGAGGGGGAUGGAAUUCCGCGUGUAGCAGUGAAAUGCGUAGAUAUGCGGAGGAACACCGAUGGCGAAGGCAAUCCCCUGGGCCUGCACUGACGCUCAUGCACGAAAGCGUGGGGAGCAAACAGG
RNAcentral lists this ribosomal RNA (253 nucleotides) under uncultured bacterium. RNAcentral's name for it is "partial 16S ribosomal RNA". It matches the Rfam family "Bacterial small subunit ribosomal RNA", at positions 524 to 776 of the family's 1533-position model. The record is from RNAcentral.